Molecule: unclassified non-coding RNA, 262 nt
Filed under: uncultured fungus
Lineage: Eukaryota; Fungi
Description: partial contains small subunit ribosomal RNA, internal transcribed spacer 1, and 5.8S ribosomal RNA
Rfam family: Eukaryotic small subunit ribosomal RNA (bases 1-73)
Source: RNAcentral
GCAAACUUGGUCAUUUAGAGGAAGUAAAAGUCGUAACAAGGUCUCCGUUGGUGAACCAGCGGAGGGAUCAUUAGAGAGUAUUCUACUCCCAACCCAUGUGAACAUACCUAGCGUUGCCUCGGCGGAGGGGGCCCUAACGGGCUCUCCCGCCGCCGAUGGCCCACGAAACUCUGUUUUAUUUUGAAACUCUGAAUCUAGAAGCAAAUAAGUUAAAACUUUCAACAACGGAUCUCUUGGUUCUGGCAUCGAUGAAGAACGCAGC